Molecule: long non-coding RNA, 2190 nt
Organism: Monodelphis domestica (gray short-tailed opossum)
Lineage: Eukaryota; Metazoa; Chordata; Mammalia; Didelphimorphia; Didelphidae
Source: RefSeq, a predicted model, not a curated record
GGCUCAUUAAGUGUUGAAAAGGAUGUAGCUGUCAUUGACCUUGUGACAAAGUCAUCAUUGCUCAAACACAUGGCAUUUUCUGCAUCUAAGACCUAGGGAACUUUAUAUUAGCCCAGUUCAAAAAACUUUCCCAUGGGCAUGCAGAAACACCAGACACUAAGGGAAAUUCACCCACAAAGAGCAGACAUCUGUAAACUAUACUACUUAGUCAGUCCUCAUGUGGCUUUACCUUUGUCUUUCUCUUUGCCUCUUCCAUGGACCAUCAGCAUUGUAAAUAGCAAUGCAGUGGGUAAACCUAUAAACACUAGCCUAGAGAUUCCACCUCUCUAAGCUCACUUUGCAAGCAGGCUUAGGCCAGGAGAGAAGUUGUGGCUAAUAGUAUGCCAGGAAAUGCAAUAACUGCUGGCUGUUGUCAGUAGUUGCUGCUCACUGGGCCCACAGGCUCUUGAGCUUCCUUUGUGUGGUAACAGGUGAUAAAGACUGAAAAGACUAAAUGGGGCCAGAUUGAAUAGGGCCUCGGAUACCAAGCUAAUCUUUACUAAGAUCAGUGUCCCAGGGUAGGAUUUGGGUAGACAAAAGUAAGAUGAACUUCAUUGUGAGUUAUGGAGAGGUAAUGCAUUUAGGGAAUAACAUCAUAAACUACUAAUUAUAGGAUAAUGAACUCCUAGCAAUCAGUUAUAACAAAGAAAAGGAGUCAUUUUAGACCUAUUAUCUGAUGAAAAUAGCAGAAAGCUAGAGAAAUUUAUCUAGAGAAAUGCAAACCAAAACAAUUCCAAGAUAUCAUCUCACAACCAUCAGAUUGGCUGAAAUGAUGAAAGGGCAAAAUGAAAAAUUUUGGAGGGGAUAUGGGAAAAUGGAAACACAAAUAUACUGUUGGGGAAGCUGCGAACUAAUCCAACCAUUUUGGAGAGCAAUUUAGUAUUACACGUAGAGUUUUAUAAAAAUAUGUAGACUUAAAUCUAGUGAUCUGAUUGCUAGGUCUAUUUCAAGAUAAUGAGGGGAAAAGGAAAAGAAUGAACAAAAAAGAAAAUAUUUAUGGCAACUGUGUCUCUAGUAGCAAAGAACUAGAAAUUGAAGGGAUGCCCAUCAACUGGGGAAUGGCUAAACCAGUUGGCAUGUGAUUUUGAUGGAGUACUUCCAUGCUAUAAGAAAUGAUGAACAGGCUAAUUUUUUUAAAAACUUGGAAAGAACUACAAGGGAUAAUGAACAAUGAAAUGAGUAGAACCAAGAGAACAUCAUACACAGCUAUAGAUUUAAUGCUUGAAGAAUAAAUUGUGAAUGCUACCUCCAGAGAAUGAACUGAAAAAUGAGUUAUCUGUCACCUCGAGGAUACCUUCUAUGAUGUGGGAAGGGGAGAGAGGGGUUGAGACACUUAUAAAUAAAAUUCUAUGAAAAAAGAAUAAGAAUACUUAAAAAAUAGAUUUUUAAGAUUUAUAAUGUACUUAAUUCACAAAAAGUAGAAAGUGUAUUUUUAUUCUCCAGUUUACACAUAGCCAAGCAUUUCAGACUUUGGACUUACUUAGAUUGGGUCCACUUGAGGGUAGCUUAAAGUGCACCUUUCUUUGACUCAUGUUGUUUCUACCCAGAAUUCUCUUUGAGAAACCUCUGACUUUAUCCUGUAUAAUUCAUGUCUAGGUCUUCACAGGUGGGAGUCAAAGAGUUUCCAUAUUGUAUACAAGUAUUCCAAGUAAUAAUAAAAAUUGGGUAUAACAGUCUUUUUUCCACCCCACAAAAAAUGCAAAAAAUGACAUAUAGAGUUCACAGCAAGCCAUUUAUAGUUCAUAUGAUUUCCUUUCCUUUUCAAGUGAGUCUCACCUUUCCCUCCAGGACCUAUGAAGUUCUUCAGGUUCAUAGCAUCACCUGGUGGUUUGAACUCCACCAAAAGGAAAUGCAUUGGAGAUUUCUAGAGGCUCUGUUCAAGAUGAACUGAACUGCUCUCUAAGGCAGAAGGAUCUGGGCCAAUGUGGGUCAGCAAGAAGCAUUAUGGUCAAAGGACAAAAGCUGUCAAUCCUGAACAAAUGUUACAACAUGAGACUUACAGGAAACCUGACAUUUCAGGUGACACAGGACCAUCAGAAGGCCAUUUCUCUCUUUCCAGUAACAUCUGCUGGGAAACAGAAGCACUGUUCAUCUUCAGAGGUAACACUAUAUCUUGAAUGUCAGGCUGGGAAAUGGUCACACACAUCUAAU